RNAcentral lists this ribosomal RNA (315 nucleotides) under uncultured eukaryote. RNAcentral describes it as "partial 18S ribosomal RNA". It matches the Rfam family "Eukaryotic small subunit ribosomal RNA", at positions 1470 to 1796 of the family's 1831-position model. The record is from RNAcentral.
CCCCUAGAUGUUCUGGGCUGCACGCGCGCUACACUGACCAGUGCAACAAGCAUCCGUCCUUGGCCGACAGGCCCGGGCAAUCUUUGAACGCUGGUCGUGAUGGGGAUAGACUUUUGCAAUUUUUGGUCUUCAACGAGGAAUUCCUAGUAAACGCAAGUCAUCAACUUGCAUUGAUUACGUCCCUGCCCUUUGUACACACCGCCCGUCGCACCUACCGAUUGAAUGGUCCGGUGAAGCCUCCGGAUUGGCGCGCACCUCGGUGCCGCCGAGAAGUUGGCUAAACCUUACCAUUUAGAGGAAGGUGAAGUCGUAACA